This 253-nucleotide ribosomal RNA is filed under the name uncultured bacterium. RNAcentral describes it as "partial 16S ribosomal RNA". It matches the Rfam family "Bacterial small subunit ribosomal RNA", at positions 524 to 776 of the family's 1533-position model. The record is from RNAcentral.
UACAGAGGGUGCAAGCGUUAAUCGGAAUUACUGGGCGUAAAGCGCACGUAGGCGGUUUUUUAAGUCAGAUGUGAAAGCCCCGGGCUCAACCUGGGAAUUGCAUUUGAAACUGGGAAACUAGAGUAUGUGAGAGGGGGGUAGAAUUCCAAGUGUAGCGGUGAAAUGCGUAGAGAUUUGGAGGAAUACCAGUGGCGAAGGCGGCCCCCUGGCACAAUACUGACGCUCAGGUGCGAAAGCGUGGGGAGCAAACAGG